This 5641-nucleotide long non-coding RNA is filed under the name Homo sapiens (human). RNAcentral describes it as "HSALNT0246850". Lineage: Eukaryota; Metazoa; Chordata; Mammalia; Primates; Hominidae. The record is from RNAcentral.
GAAGUCUCGCUGUCGCCCAGGCUGGAGUGCGGUGGCGCGAUCUCGGCUCACUGCAAGCUCCGCCUCCCGGGUUCACGUCAUUCUCCUGCGUCAGACUCCCGAGUAGCUGGGACUACAGGCGCCCGCCAUGAUGCCCGGCUAAUUUUUUGUAUUUUUAGCAGAGACGGGGUUUCACCCUGUUAGCCAGGAUGGUCUCAUCUCCUGACCUCGUGAUCCGCCCGCCUAGGCCUCCCAAAGUGCUGGGAUUACAGGCGUGAGCCACCGCGCCCGGCCUAAUAAAGGACAAUUUUUAAUAGCCACUGGACUAUUUAAGUGAUCUCUUCUGUCAGUUUCUUUUACCAUCAGAGGACACAGCAGCAAGGUGCCAUCCUAGAAGCAGAGAGCAGACCCUUACCAGACAACCAACCAGCUGGUGCCAUGAUCUUGGACUUCUCGGCCUCCAGAACUAAAUACAGAUUUAUCUUUGUUCCAUGCCACUCCUGAUAGACAUUUACCUCCACCUUGGAAGAAUACAAAGGACUCCACUUAAAAGGCAAAUCAAGCCAAACCUUAUAAAGACAAGCCACAGACUUCAGGUUACAUGUUUUGAGUUCUGCACAAAAUAUUUGAAUGGGUGCUUCAUAAAAGAUGAUAUAUGAGGACUUGGGGCAGAACAAGAUGGCAGAAUAGAAGGCUCCGCCAAUUGUCCCUGCUUCAAGGACACCAAUUUAACAACUAACUACAUAAAAUAGCACCUUUAUAAGAACCAAAAAUCAGGCACUUAAACACGCAGCAUGAGGAAAAUGGAACAACAAUCUUGAGGUGCCUUCUGAAUCAUCAGAUUAAAUUAUGCUUCGGUCUUGCACUGCUGCCUAGGCUAGAGUGCAGUGGUGCAAUCAGGGCUCACUGCAGCCUCACUCAACUUCCCAGUCUCAAGCCAUCCUCCUACCUCAGCCUCUGUUCCACUAAUCUACUUGUCAAUUUUUCCAGCAACACCACACCCUCCUGAUCACCAUAGCUUUAUGGUAAGACACCCCUACUCUGUCCAGACCCAACUGUCAACAGAAGCCAAAGCCAUCUGGAGGAGCAUGCAACAACAAGAAACAAAUUUAUUAGCUAACCUAACCACUAAUGACGCAAGAGACAAUUCUAAGGACUUUCAAAACAGCAAAGUAGGAGCAGCUGCUACCUCUAGGGAUGAGGGAGAAACUCAAAAAUGCAUACAAAAACCAUUGCAUGAAAAGUGACUGGAUUUGUACAUAGCGUCAGGAGAUGUGCGUAGUGUCAAAGUAUCUCAUCACACAUUACUUGAUAAUUACAAAUGAGAAAAAUGAACCUUCACAGUGGCAAGACUUGACUUCUACCUCUUUCAAAAAGAUGCAAUUGUCCAAUUAUUGGUGAAAUUGUCAUUUCAUGCUAUUGGCUAUUUGAAAUUCCUCCUCUAAUUUCAGAAUAAAUCACUGAAAUUGACAUCGGCCAGUCUGAAUUUCAAGAAAUUACCUGCUGAAGACAAGAGGGAUCUCUUCUUCAGAUUUGCAGUCUGGGGAAGACACAGCCUCUACUGUACUUUAGAACCUGAGAUAUGGUGGUGGAGGGAGCCCUGGGUCGAGUGGUAAGAUUCACCCUUAGGUUAGUAUUGACGUAAGGUGACGAGGAGCUGUAGACAAAAGAUUGUAACCAUAAGAACUUCAUAGUUUUUGUAUUUUCACCGAGCUUAUAUUUGGUGUGUUUUUUGUCUUUUCUUUAUGAUUAUCAAUAAAAUGCUUGAAAGGAGAUGAGGUUGGGGAAUAAUUUUUGGGAAUACCACAAAAGACACUUUUGUGAUGGAAAUCCUUAAAAAGACACAAUCCAUUACCUCAUUGGGUUCAAAAGGCAAUUGUGAACUACUGUGGAGUUUGGAAAGAAGCAAUGAGGUAAUCAAGGAUACUGUUGACAAUCUAGCUUAUCCUAUGGAUGGAAGGAAAUUGAAACUAAUGGAGGCGAGGCUGGUAAAACAAUAGGGUUUGAGACAAUUCUGUGGCAUUAGAAAUGAAAGAGGAAGGUGAAUCCGGGAGACGGAGCUUGCAGUGAGCUGAGAUCGCGCCACUGCACUCCAGCCUGGGCGACAGAGCGAGACUCCAUCUCAAAAAAAAAAAAAAAGAAAGAAAGAAAAGAAAGAGGAAGUAAUAAUCUGUGAAAUUUUUCCUUAGGAACUUAUUGGCAAUUUAAAAAUGAAUUUGUUAAGCCAUGCUGGUUCUGACCCAAAAGCCAUUCCCCAGCCUUCCUCACUCCCCUCUUUCACUACUGGCAGAGAUUGUCUCUCAUUUUACAAGCUGAAAAUGCCAGAUGCUUGCUUUUACAGUCUUCCUUACACCCAGAGCAUGUGCAUAUGUUUAAACGGUCAAGAAGAAGUCAUAACAUGGGUGUCUGGGAGAGCUUUUAUCCCACAAAAACAACACUUCACUCAAAAAACAAACCAAACAAAGAAAAAUUCUCCUUCCUGCCAUUGGAUGUGAGGCUCAGACCUCUAGUAACCAUUUUGUGACCACAAAGCAACAAGCCUGAGGAAAAGUCCUACACGCUGAGCAACAGGCAGAAAUAUUGCCAUCGCUGAGUUGCAGAAACAAAUCUAGAGAUGUUUUGCUUCUGUAAUUAUUUUUUAUGGGAGAUUACAAGUGGGUUUACUGUUCACUUUUCAAAUCUUAUUUCUCUAUGAUGUUUAGCUUGGGUAAAUUUUACCUUAAAUCCACUUUUUUAUGUAAGGUAACAUAUUUGUCGGUUUCAAGGAUUAAGAUGUGGGCAUACUUGGAGGCCAUUAUUUUGCCCACCACAGGUGAAAAAGGAAGUGUUAUUCUUAAAUCAUUUGGAAGGAUCUCUGUGUAAAUGCAAGAGCGAGACAAGAAAAUGCUGUCAUUCUUUUGAUAUGGACUCGAAUUUCCACUUCAUGGUUGUCUGCUUCCUUUUUAGAGUAUUAUUUAUCCUCCUAAUAAAAAGAAAGUGAAAUUUCCCAUUUCUUUACAUUUGUUGGCUUUUGGUUAGUCAUUUUGAAGAAGACCUUUGGAGAGGACCUAAUAUUGUAAAAGUGAUAGAUUUAGAUUGUUCUAAUAACAGAGUUAGUAGGCUUGAAUACAAUCCUUUUUGUAUUUAGAAGACACAGAACUCUGUUGCAUGAGGUUUAUAUCCUUUUUGAAGCAGGAGAAUUUGGUUACAUAGCAAUAGAAAAAUUUAGUAGGACAAUUUAUUUUCAAAUUAGGGCAAGAGAAAUGCUUUUUUCUCUGUUAAGUAGUUAACAAAAUGAUUAAUUUUAUUAACUCACUAGAGCAUAAGAUAAAUUUUGAGAAAGUCUCCAGAUUUUGUGUAGUUAUUGCCUAAAACACUUUACAUGGCUUUGGAACCUUGUGCUAUAUGGAUUACUUAGCUAUGGCUUUGAUAGCUUUUUGGCUAGGAGAGACUUCAAUAAUUAAACUGAUAAUUGCUUUAAUCUGGGCUUUGUUUUUAUAUCUACUUCUGGCUUCCACUUAAUGGAGGUAGAGAUACUAGCUAGCAGUCAAACUACUUAUGCUAUAGAUAUUGUGUUAGGAAAAACAACUUUUUAUUUCUUUUUAAGAAAUGUUUUAAAAAUCAAUGUUUCUCUGGAAAUUUACAGUCUCCUUGGAGAGGAAUGUCUAUAACAUUAAAUUUAUUGUUGAUUUUAACCUCAUGCAAUCCAUGUACAUGGCUCUUGCUCAUCCUCCAUUACUUUAUUUUGUUAUUAUUAUUGUUUUUACACAGAGCCCACUUAUGUGUGCAUGAAGAACAAGACUAUUUUAAGCAACUGAACAAGGUAUCACUGCAACCUGGGAAACAACUUUGAUCCUUCAAUUUCUCCACAAUUAAUUCUGUGGCAGGUAGCUUAGGAAUCCCAAGCAGGCAUAGAAACCAUGAUGAGGUCUCCUGUGCAAACCUCUCCAGAUCUGAAACAGCCCCUGCAAAUGCUGAUUGCUUGCAAAUGCAACUGUCUAGGUUACAUACAAAAUGAACAUAAUAAGUUUUUAUUUCCCAUGGUGAUACACCAACAGCUACAUUCGGCUUCUAAUAGUCUGCAAUUCAGUAAUAAUAGCUUGGUUCAGUUUAGUUUAUUGAAGACAUAAAAAUACUUGGCAGCCAGAGGCUGGAAUGCAUGGUUCAAGGGAACAAGAUUCCAACAGGGACCACAGGACCUGUACGUGGAACAUGGGUAUACUCAGCAUUUAGCAGCUAUGAUUUAUUCAUUUGGUGAAAAGCAGCAUUCCAUAAAUAUGAUUUAUGUAAUUACUGAGGAGGGAAUUCAAUCUCUAAUUUUAUAGAAGGGUACCUCAGAAUUUUGUUGCACACACCUCACCUUUUUAAUAACAUUUCUUUUGGCAGAAAAUAUUUCAAUGCCUCACUUUUCUCAGGAGAAAACUCUUCAUUUUCAUCUUUUAGAGAGGAAAGAAAAAAAAUAUCAAGUUGCUUUUCUCAGUAACUGGCUUGAGAGCUUAGGCAUUACACAUCUCUGCUGUGAAACCGAAGGAUUUCUUGAAUUCAGCUCAAAUAUCUUAAGCAGAGCUAUUUGGGUAUAAUUUUUUAAUCAAAAAUGUAUCUUCUAGAGGUGAAAAUUUAAAACUUUAGACUGGAAAAUAUUCAUUUAACAUAAGAUGCCGUUAUUAGGUGCUAGAAAGUUUAGAUAAUGUUGGUAAUGAAAUCCACCAUAUUUUUAUUUAUCUUCCACAUUAAUGAAACUCGCUUAAUAUUUGGACUAAGAAGACCUGGGCACAAUUAGCACUGUAUCUCAACUCAACUAUGCAACACACUUGACCGUAUGAGCUUCAGGAAUCUGUUGGCUUCCCUAAGCUUUGGUUUAUCCAUUUACCAAAUGAAGAGUUUGUCAGCCAUCUGCCUUAUCUGCUACCUCACAGAUGUGUUUUAAGUAUACCUGAAUAUCAAAUAGAAUAAUAAAUGCAGAAAUGGUAGGUCAACUUUACAGAAUUUUGUGAGCUUUUAUUAUUUCAUAAAAAGUAGGCCAGUGACACCAUGAAGAUAUGUUCUUUGAGCUGUUCCUACGUUGGUAACAGUGGCAUUACACAAUUCCACAUACUCUGCCAGCCUCUUUGUUGCUUGUGAUACAAAAUUGUAACUAGUGAUGAACCAAGGAUUAAGGUAGUCUGUUACUAUAGUCAUGGGAGACAAUCUGGGAAUGACACAAAGAAUCCUGGUUCAAGAUGGAGGUCUUUCAGUGUGUGAUUUUGGGUAACUCACUGAAUUUUUUUAAACCUCAGUUAUCUCAUCUGUAAAAUAUUUGAAUAAAACCCCUUGAUACUGUGCCUCCAGACUGCUCCAUCAAAAGAAGCAAUGGAAACUCUUUGGAAACCUAAAACCCACAAAUGGAAAUUGUUAUCAUUUAUCUUAUAUUUGGACAUGCUAACCUUUAGCAUUGACAAAUGCCAUUAUGUAAAAUACAAUUAUUUCCUCAUAAAAGCUUAAUGCUGUACUGGUGAAGGAGAUAAUCCUUUCUGUUUGUUUUCUAUGAUAAACAGCUUUCAGUAUAAUUGCAGUAAAUAAAAUCUGUAAUGUCUUUAUAAAUCUUUAUUUAGUCAGAACCAUGACUAUUUCAUAUAGUGACCUUUUCUUUUGAAAAUGAUGAGUCUUCUUUGUCAAUAAAAACUUGAGGAGUUUACAAACAGAC